This is a long non-coding RNA of Mizuhopecten yessoensis (Yesso scallop), 465 nucleotides long. RefSeq lists it as uncharacterized. NCBI's taxonomy places the organism in Eukaryota, Metazoa, Mollusca, Bivalvia, Pectinida, Pectinidae. The transcript is spliced from 3 exons. The record is from RefSeq and is a predicted model, not a curated record.
CGACAUGUGCUACUGGAUACGCACUUCUUGGUAAUUUUCUCGCUAUUUCCAUUAGUUUCAAUAUAGGAUUCACCAUCAAGUGCACAAGAAUGCGAUUCAGUAACUCGAGGACACAACCACCUUCCAAAGAACUCCAAACCUAUCAUAUACCAAACCAUGAGAACAGCUAUGAAGGUUUAGAUUCAACAAAAAUCGACAAAACGCGCAACAUUUACGACACAAUAGUCCAAUAGCGCGGCAACAAAACGAGAUACAGUGACACAAUGACAAUAUACCAUGAGAUAAUAUAUUAUAAGCUUUUCCUCCAAUAUUUAAGAGUAUAUCAACAUUUAUUGAACUGAUAACUGUUUAAACGUCAUGAACACAGUGAAAUGAACAAGUUUUUGCACCGCUUGAAUAUAUCAACCUUCGUUGACUGUGAUACCCUUUGUAAAAGUCAAAUAGUUAAAGUGACUGUCAUAUUAA